GACGUAGGUGGCGAACGUUAUCCGGAAUUAUUGGGCGUAAAGGGUGCGUAGACGGCAUGACGAGUUAUUGGCGGGAAAUCGAGGCUCAACCUCGUGGAAACUAGUAAUACUGUUUUGCUUGAGUACAGGAGAGGUUAACGGAACUCCAUGUGGAGCGGUAAAAUGUGUAGAUAUAUGGAAGAACACCAAUAACGGCGAAGGCAGUUAACUAUUCUGUUACUGACGUUGAGGCACGAAAGCGUGGGGAGCAAAACGG
This 256-nucleotide ribosomal RNA is filed under the name uncultured bacterium. RNAcentral describes it as "partial 16S ribosomal RNA". It matches the Rfam family "Bacterial small subunit ribosomal RNA", at positions 524 to 776 of the family's 1533-position model. The record is from RNAcentral.